This 1226-nucleotide long non-coding RNA is filed under the name Homo sapiens (human). RNAcentral's name for it is "HSALNT0393874". Lineage: Eukaryota; Metazoa; Chordata; Mammalia; Primates; Hominidae. The record is from RNAcentral.
AGGUAGAGGCAGAAAGAAGGGUCUUAAAAGCAUGACCUAUUCCUUGGAGAUCUGCAAAGAGUAUCAGAUUAUCUUCAUUCAACACAUAACACAGGCCUUGGAGACCUACAUUUGCAGGUGGUAGAACCAAGUGAAAAACCUAAUCAGAAAUCAAUUCUACAAACAGGAGGAGAUGUUCCUUUUUGUCUGACUCAAUUACGUGGGAAGGAAGAGACAGUGUGAGAAUGGGCUGGGGAUAAUAUAUCAGUAGAGAUUAAGACAUUAAUACCCACAAUCCUUUGGGUCACAUGAUUUUUCUUUUUGAGUUCUCAAAUGUAGAAAAAUGAAACUUUGAACCAAGAAGACUUUUAGAAGCAGUCUAAACCAAGAUCUUUAAUUAACAGAAAAAUCAGAAGCCCAGUCAAGUGAACUACCAAUGAAAUAAACAGCACACAAUCGGUUGAUGCAUAGAAAUAGUGUUUGCCUCAAUGAACUGAUCUGGACUCAAGCCCUUUAAAAGAGACAACCUGAGGCUGCUCUGGAUCUGCUAUAGAGCAAAUAAAGUUUUAUCUCCAUGUUAUUAUUACUAGUUCCACUUCGAGCAGAAACAAAGAAAAUCUGUUUAUAAAUGUCUCCAGUUAUGUUGAAGGUAGAUGCAAUUUGGAGGGCCUCUCUGAGUGGUCCCACUACCCCCAGAUACUGACUCAGAGAACCAGCAUGAGGUUCUACCAUCUCAAAGACCCAUGCUUCCGGUAGUACUGAUGGAGGAAAGAGAAACCAAAUAGAGUGGGGAGAUCAAGCAGCAUGUUUUAUGACCACAAUGGGAAAUGAUGUCCAUUCCUUCUGCCAUUUGCUAGAACUAGUCACAAGGUGCUAAACAUGCUUAAAUCAAGUACCAGACAAAUCUCCCUGAUCAAAGUGCAAAGGUGAGCUGAUGUGUCAGAAGAAGGGGUGAAAUCUGCAGCACUUCUGUUCAACAUGCCCAAGAGGAAAAACAAGCAACAGCGACAGCACCAGAAGAGGAAGAUUCCUCAAGAUUCUGUGGAUGAAUAAUUCAGAAACGUUCCAGUUGGAUGGACUGAUUCAGGGUCUCUCAUGAUGCUGCAGCCAAGAAAAAGACCACUCCUGGGAGAAACACAAGUUACAUGGUAUUGCUCUUCUCACAUGAACCAUCUCCACAACCAACGUGCCCUGAAUCCCAGUGCUUGGCCAACCCCAUCACUAGUAAUCAACCAUCAUCCCAAGAA